This 258-nucleotide ribosomal RNA is filed under the name uncultured bacterium. Its description in RNAcentral is "partial 16S ribosomal RNA". It matches the Rfam family "Bacterial small subunit ribosomal RNA", at positions 15 to 266 of the family's 1533-position model. The record is from RNAcentral.
GAUCCUGGCUCAGGACGAACGCUGGCGGCGUGCCUAACACAUGCAAGUCGAGCGGAGACAGUGAGUAGCUUGUUAUGAGCUGUUUUGGCGGCGGACGGGUGAGUAACGCGUGAGCAACCUUUCCCAGACAGGGGAAUAACACACCGAAAGGUGUACUAAUACCGCAUAAGACCACGGGAUCACAUGGUUCUGGGGUAAAAGAUUUAUCGGUUUGGGGUGGGCUCGCGUCCGAUUAGGUAGUUGGUGAGGUAACGGCCC